RNAcentral lists this transfer RNA (78 nucleotides) under Salmo salar (Atlantic salmon). It matches the Rfam family "tRNA", at positions 8 to 63 of the family's 71-position model. Rfam says of the family: Transfer RNA (tRNA) molecules are approximately 80 nucleotides in length. Their secondary structure includes four short double-helical elements and three loops (D, anti-codon, and T loops). Lineage: Eukaryota; Metazoa; Chordata; Actinopteri; Salmoniformes; Salmonidae. The record is from Rfam by way of RNAcentral.
UGGCUCAGUUGGUAGAGCAUGGUGUUUGCAACGCCAGCAUGGUGUUUGCAACGCCAGGUUUGUGGGUUCGAUUCCCAC